Molecule: transfer RNA, 76 nt
Filed under: Patescibacteria group bacterium
Lineage: Bacteria
Description: tRNA-Thr
Rfam family: tRNA
About the family: Transfer RNA (tRNA) molecules are approximately 80 nucleotides in length. Their secondary structure includes four short double-helical elements and three loops (D, anti-codon, and T loops).
Source: RNAcentral
GCCGAGAUAGCUCAGUUGGUAGAGCAACGCACUUGUAAUGCGUAGGUCGCGAGUUCGAAUCUCGCUCUCGGCUCCA